This 253-nucleotide ribosomal RNA is filed under the name uncultured bacterium. Its description in RNAcentral is "partial 16S ribosomal RNA". It matches the Rfam family "Bacterial small subunit ribosomal RNA", at positions 524 to 776 of the family's 1533-position model. The record is from RNAcentral.
UACGAAGGGUGCGAGCGUUAAUCGGAAUUACUGGGCGUAAAGCGCGCGUAGGUGGUUUUGUAAGCGAAAUGUGAAAUCCCCGGGCUUAACCUGGGAACUGCAUGUCGAACUGCAAGACUAGAGUAUAGUAGAGGAGUGUGGAAUUUCCUGUGUAGCGGUGAAAUGCGUAGAUAUAGGAAGGAACAUCAGUGGCGAAGGCGGCACUCUGGACUGAUACUGACACUGAGGCGCGAAAGCGUGGGUAGCGAACAGG